UGAAUUUAAUCUCGUUAGAGAGUGGAGAUUUCACGAUCUUAGUCUUAAAUCAAAAAUGAAAGGCAGGAAGUGUGUACGAAGGGGAGUAUCGAAGUUGUUUAUUUUUAGUAUACUUACGCAUGCUAGAUGAUCGUAUGUGCACGAGUUUACGAUAUUUUCCCCUCGUGAGCUGUCGCUAGUUUUUGCUCGAAACAGCUGACCGUGUUUAGUUUGUGUUAGAAGUCAUUUUGCUUACUUUGUAGUUCAGUUCUGCAAGGUGAACUAUUGAGACGUAAAAGAUUUGCAUUCUCUCCAUAUUAGUCGUAGCGAGUUUUGCGAAACAAUAGAUUCGAUUUUCAUUUAUAUUGCAUACUUCAAGGGUUUUGAAUUUAUUCGAAAAAUAAAGCAUUAGUUCUCAUCCUCCCUUUCAAUUUACGAGGCGCUUCUGAAGCUUAUUUUGCGUGUUUGCUGUCAUGAUUUUUAUGGCGUAUCUUUCGCUUCACUCACGUUUGCCGGCCUGGGUUAGCUCAUAGUUCAUGUUUCUUGGCACGUGGUAACUUGUUAUUCCAGUUUCUAACCAGUUUUAUUUACACCUCCAUUCAUUUCUUCGAUCGAUAAGUAUUUCUUUCAAAUUCUGAGUUUGGCUUUUUGAAGGUUUUUCUUUUUUGUUAGUACUUUUGGUUCGACUGAUUAAAUCUUGUUUACUGUUGCAUUUACUCGUCAAAGCUGAUUGUCGUGUUGAUCCGGUUGAAAGGAAUGAUUCCCAGAACUCGUUACCCUUGUCAUGCUAUUAUAUUCGCUUAUGGCUUUGUUGUUGACGUUAAUUGUAAAUUAUUUCAUGAAAAAGGCUUUUAUUUAUCCUAAUGAAUCGUCGAGAUUUUUAUGUCAAGGGAGUGAAAUCGUGACAGUGCAAGUUUUUUUUACUGUUGUUGUUUUUAAUUCCAUCAACAAUAACUGACAACGAGAUCUCGACGGGUUUUUUUGGAAUGUUUCUUUUGAGAGUUCAAAGUUCGUUUGGUUUUGUGCAUUGUUUAGGUGUUUGUGUUGUUAUUUUCUAAGUGAAGGCCAACCAUUUAAUACAAUUUCUAAAUUAUUGUCCCAUAAAUUUUCAUCAAAAUUUCACGCUCACUUCAGUUCUUGGUCUUCAGAUUUUAACAAUUAACAUUAAAAGUUUGUUUACAACGUCUAGCUAUUUUGAUUUUUCUUCUUAAUGUGACAGUAGUUUUGUCUUCUUUUUUGUUGUGAACAAAUUCCACAUUUUGGAAUACAGUAACUACGUUUUUAAAACUUCUUGAAGGGUUAUACCCUCAGUAUUUGCGUAGGGUAAGAUUUGGAACUUUUUGGCCUUGUCUCAGCAUGUUUGUGCUGACUAUACAAUAGUUUUCAAUGAACCUCUUCCCUUGCUUCCUGCCUUUUAUUGCAAUUAGAUAUAAAUUGUAUUAUUGGAAAAUGCCAAAGUGAUGUCUUUUCUACUCUGACAACAACACUGUUUUUGACAUGUUGUUAAAAUUUUUAAAAUUUACACUGUCAUAAUUUGGGAGAUGUUAGUUUGCCCGGCAAAUUGUUCUUGUUUCAUGCAGUAGAAGAGUAUCAGUUUGGUACAAUAGUAAAAGUUAUUUUUACCUAGUGCUAUUCACAGCAUGGCUCAUGUGACAUGGCCAUUUGGAAAAAAAUGAAAAAUAUAUGUAUUUGCUUCUGCGAUAUUUCAAAGGAAGGUUGUUGUGGCUUAUUUGACUUUUGUUUUCUUUGUGCCAUUCUGUGAAUAAGAUCUGAAUUAAAAGGGAUUAAUGGAGCAAGUUGGGGCUGUUUGUGUGCAUAUUUGUGGUUAAUUGACUUAAUAGUGCUAAACCAUGAGUGUAAUGGAAUUAGUGUUGAUGCUUAAAUGUUUUAGUAAGCCAUGUGUAUAAGUCUGUUUGUCAUUGUACUGUAUUUUUAACAUGUGUUUAUUGACCGCUGGGGGUAUUGGAAGGGUUGGAAUGAGUAAAUAGUACACAUUUCAAUAUCCCACCAUUUAAUUUCUGACUUUGUGAUGCAACCCGACAUGUAUACUUAAAUGUGUCCCACAAACAAGUAUCAUUGCACAAAGUAGCAUUGACAUGGACUUCAUAAAUGACAAACUGGGCAAAUUCAAUUAGGAUGAUCUGUUUUGUUUUGUGUCCCCAUUGUUUUGAAUUUCAAGGUUGCAGUCUGGCAGGUCAUGCGCUAAUUGGGAUAUUGACUUGUAUAAUUUAUCCAUGCUCAGUGGUAUACUUUAAUCUGGGAAUAUAAUCCUUUUGAUUGUUGCUGUUUUGAUUGUAGCUAAUGUUCCUCCUCAGUGCAAGGCUGACUGCAACUGAGUGGGCACAGUUGGUAGGGCCUCCUGGACGUCUGCAGAUGGAGUUUUGCACACCUUCGAAGUUGCAGGGACUGCCUCAGAAAUUGAUGAUAAAGCUGUGGAGGCCUUUGUCGAUGAGGAUGAUUUUAUCAUAUCCUUAGACUACAACGAAAAAAUGGGAGUUUGCAGCGUAGUCUUGGAGACAUCAAGCUGACAAAUAGUGUUGGAGGUUCAUGACCUGGUUUUCUACUUUGCCAAGUUGGAGGACAUAAUUUACUAGUUAUAUUGACUUUGCAUAUUUUGUGGAAGUUCACUGCUAGUUAUGUCGACAAGGAGAAUACAAUAUACUGUAUGUUUCUUUGUGAUAUAAGUUGAUUGUAAGAGUGGAAUUUCUCUGUAACAUGGUGUUCAGGAGGUUUUUCUUUUCUGGAGUAACUUAUUACUAUGAGAAAUUUUCAAUCAUGCAACUCUGAUAAUGUAUCUAGCAUAACUUAACCCUUUAACUCCCAAGAUCUGAUCAUCAAUUCUCCUUUCAAGCUGUUGCAAAUUUCCUUGUGAAUUAGUUCUAGGCUGUCAUUUUGACUUGCUGCCAAAUUUGUCUUCCUAAUUUACAAGAAAAUAGAUGUAAGUUUAAUAGAGAAUUUCAGUUCUCAUCUUUGUAGUUUAAGGGUUAGAUUUGAUGUACUCUCCUGAUAGGGAGCAAUAUUUGUGGCAUAGGACAUGCCCAUAUGACAAGAUUUGUAAUUUUUAUUUGUAGUAAAAUAUUUCCAGUACAUUUUCUGGAUAAGAUUGUAUAUUUGUACUGAGAUAUACUAUAUCAUGGGGAGAGAGUUGUUUUGUAAUUUAUUUCAUCGCAAAAAAUUAACAAAAGUUAAGUGUUACUCCAACAAAAAGAGUAUUAUUCUGGUCACAGUGUAAAAAUUUAUGUGUAAGCAAUAUUAUUCACUUUGGAUAGUUUAUGUUAUUUCCUUUUACAGAAAAAUCAAUUUUGUAUUUUAAUUCUUGUAGAGCAAUUUCAAGAGAGAAACAUGACUUCCAGACUUAGUUUUUGACUGGUUUUCUGUUUCAUUUCAUGUUUUUUAUUAUUUUAUAACAAGUUGUCAAAUUUCAUUCAUGAUUCAGUGCUGUGUAGACUUAGCUUCCAUGUUUGAAGCAUUUAAGAAAAUUUUUGUCAAAGACUUGGUUCUAAGGUAAUAUUUGCCAUUUUUCUGAAGGAAAGACCUCUGUUAAGUAACUAAGAUGCAGACCUCUUCAGAAAUCAAACUCCAAGUAGUGGCUGCACAUUAUUUCAUGGGUGAAGGUAGAAACUGAAAGUUUUCUUUCUCAGGAAUAACUUUGUCACAGUAAUAUCUGACCUUUCUUUAGGAAUUAAAACUUUCUUUUGUUGUUUACAAUCAAAAUUAAGCAACUUUAAAGAUGCAAGUAUUUCUUUGAUCAAAGCAUAAUAAACACAGAAAAAUAGAGCAAAAA
This 3763-nucleotide unclassified non-coding RNA is filed under the name Pocillopora damicornis (cauliflower coral). RNAcentral describes it as "grainyhead-like protein 1 homolog, transcript variant X1". Lineage: Eukaryota; Metazoa; Cnidaria; Anthozoa; Scleractinia; Pocilloporidae. The record is from RNAcentral.